CGGGUGAGUAAUGUAUGGGGAUCUGCCUGAUGGCGGGGGAUAACUACUGGAAACGGUAGCUAAUACCGCAUAAUGUCUGCGGACCAAAGCGGGGGACCUCCGGGCCUCUUGCCAUCGGAUGUGCCCAGAUGGGAUUAGCUAGUAGGUGGGGUAACGGCUCACCUAGGCGACGAUCCCUAGCUGGUCUGAGAGGAUGACCAGCCACACUGGGACUGAGACACGGCCCAG
Molecule: ribosomal RNA, 228 nt
Filed under: uncultured bacterium
Lineage: Bacteria
Description: partial 16S ribosomal RNA
Rfam family: Bacterial small subunit ribosomal RNA
Source: RNAcentral